UAAAAUGACAACAUUUUUUGCUGGUUAGGUUGGUUAGACCGUUCGAAUUUUGAAAAAAGCAGAGAUGAGAUGGUGGACACGAGAGGAAGUUAAAUUUGGUUCAUAAUUAACAUUGGGCCCGCAAAAGUUUAAAAGUUAAAUUAUCUUUUUGAUUAACUUUCUCACAUAAACCAAAAUUACGGUUUUCUGACGACGGAGAAAUUGGCUACAGAGACACAGGCAAAAGGUCAUAAUGACGACGAAAAGGAAGCGGGCAGGGAAGGAGAUAGCCGAAGAGGAGACGCAACACGAGGAAGUGGUGAAUGUGACUGUUCCGACUGCCGGUGAGGAUACUAGCGACAGAAAUGUACCCUAGUAAGCGGCUGAACGUGUAUUCGACGACAUAUUACUUGUCGUCCGGGAUGUUUUGGACGGAAUGGAGGAGAUGCGUCGUUUACAAGCUUCUUGUUUUGGUCUGAUUGCUUUGACGAGAUUCAAUUUUGGUUAACGACGUCUUAACCGGAUCUCUCGGGCUUCUUCCAUUGGUUUGCAAUACCACAUAUACAGAUGCUUUUCACAGCUUCUAAGAUGUUGAAGUUG
Brassica napus (rape) is the source of this 579-nucleotide long non-coding RNA. RefSeq lists it as uncharacterized. Lineage: Eukaryota; Viridiplantae; Streptophyta; Magnoliopsida; Brassicales; Brassicaceae. The record is from RefSeq and is a predicted model, not a curated record. The transcript is spliced from 3 exons.